This 301-nucleotide ribosomal RNA is filed under the name uncultured bacterium. RNAcentral's name for it is "partial 16S ribosomal RNA". It matches the Rfam family "Bacterial small subunit ribosomal RNA", at positions 509 to 807 of the family's 1533-position model. The record is from RNAcentral.
CAGUCGCCGCGGUAAUACAGAGGGUGCAAGCGUUAAUCGGAAUUACUGGGCGUAAAGCGCGCGUAGGUGGUUUGUUAAGUUGGAUGUGAAAUCCCAGGGCUCAACCUGGGAACUGCAUCCAAAACUGGCAAGCUAGAGUAUGGUAGAGGGUGGUGGAAUUUCCUGUGUAGCGGUGAAAUGCGUAGAUAUAGGAAGGAACACCAGUGGCGAAGGCGACCAACUGGACUGAUACUGACACUGAGGUGCGAAAGCGUGGGGAGCAAACAGGAUUAGAUACCCCCGUAGUCCCUGUCUCUUAUAC